UAGGGAAUCUUCCGCAAUGGACGAAAGUCUGACGGAGCAACGCCGCGUGAGUGAAGAAGGAUUUCGGUUCGUAAAACUCUGUUGUGAGGGAAGAAAAAAUGUAUAGUAACUAUAUACAAAAGAGACGGUACCUAACCAGAAAGCCACGGCUAACUACGUGCCAGCAGCCGCGGUAAUACGUAGGUGGCAAGCGUUGUCCGGAAUUAUUGUGCGUAAAGCGCGCGCAGGUGGUUUAGAAAGUCUGAUGUGAAAGCCCACGGCUGAACCGUGGAGGGUCAUUGGAAACUACUAAACUUGAGUGCAGGGGAGAAAAGUGGAAUUCCAUGUGUAGCGGUGAAAUGCGUAGAUAUAUGGAGGAACACCGGUGGCGACAGCGGCUCUCUGGUCUGUAACUGACGCUGAGGCUCGAAAGCGUGGGGAGCGAACAGG
This 429-nucleotide ribosomal RNA is filed under the name Verrucomicrobiota bacterium. RNAcentral describes it as "Verrucomicrobia bacterium partial 16S ribosomal RNA". It matches the Rfam family "Bacterial small subunit ribosomal RNA", at positions 355 to 776 of the family's 1533-position model. The record is from RNAcentral. Lineage: Bacteria; Pseudomonadati; Verrucomicrobiota.